GGGGGGUUAUUACUAGUAUGUAUAAUUGCUCAGUCAUACGACUUAGUUAGGGCGAUCUGUAGUGCAAUUCACUCACUUUUAACGAUACGAUUUGUCGAGGUCUAAUAUAACGGUUUUUGUGGUUUGCAGUAACGUGUGUUUAUUCGGUAACUCUUUUUUAACGACACUAAACAGCUGACAUUUUCUUUUUAUUUCAGUAAAAGGAAGGUGGCAUCUCAACUUAACGAAACGUCAAAAAAUGCGAAAAGCACAAAGAAGAAUGACGAAAAACAAACAAAUUCCUUGCUUGCAAAGUGGUAUACACAUAGUUUUCUGAAUAUUUUAAUAUACUUUUACAAAAAAAUGGCUUCGUCAGUACCCAGUGUUCAAAAGAGAAGCCGGACCACAGCAGAACAACUAAGUCGCAUGGUUUUGUGUACACUACGCUUCUAUGCCACAGGAUGCUACCAACGGCCUGUAGGGGAACAGUGGGGCAUAUCAAUGAGCCAAUCAUCUAUAAGCCGUUGUAUACAUCGCGUAACUGAUGCCAUAAACAGUGGACUAUUUUUUGAGGAGGUUAAGUUCCCUAUGACGCAGGUGGACCGUCAAGCUGCCAAGGAAGUGUUUGCUUCAGCACCUGCGCCUUUCGUUGGAGGAACUAUUGGAGCGGUAGACUGCACGCAUGUUUCUAUUUUGGGUCCUAAAACUCAUGAGGAAGCAUACGUGAACCAUCAUGGCUAUCACUCGAUAAAUGUUCAAAUGAAAAUAGUACGAAAGGACAGCAACCAUGGACCGAGGAAAGUGUUGUAUUGUAACAAUACGAAAAGUAUCUAAGGUAUUCAUCCCAAUCGUCCUUAUUAAUGGAUAUGUAGGAACGCACAUAUUCAUUGAAUGUUCUAUGACUGUGUUCAACCGUGCCUAAAGUUUGAUGAUGAUUUAGGAAAUGGUCCAACUGUAUCGGUCUGUACUAUAUCAACAACUUUUGGCGGUGUCUCCGUUAUUGUCAUUGGUUCUUUCAGGUGUGUAUUGAUUUUAUUUUUCUUACAGUUAAUGCAUUUCCUGAUAUAUUUUUUAAUAUAAUUAUUCAUAUUUUUCCAGUAAUAUUUUUGUUUUAUUUUGAUGGUCGUACGAUUGAUUCCUGGGUGACCACAUUUAACAGGAUCUUCGUGAUAUUUGUGAAGAAUAUUUUUAAUUUUUUCAAUAUUUGUCACAUGCAUAACCUCCGGAGUUAAUGCAAUAGUUAAGUUUUUUAGAACUUUGGAACCUAUUUCUUUAAAUUUAUCUACUUGAGUAUAAUUAAACAAUUUGUCUCCUAAGGACAAAGGUAUUUUUACUAGUCCUAAAUUGCCGGCAUUUUUCAUAAGCCAGGUAAAGAAUUGUCCUAAGUAAAUUUCACCUCAACAAUUAGGUUGCUUGUAUCUAUUUCGCUAAAAAUUUUCUUUCCUUUUUGAAACAUAGUUUCGGAGGAUCAAAAACGAGCUCGACAUUUCUUUUGACUUCAUAUUUAUUAAGCGCUUCAUAUAUUAUAGGGAUCUCAUUGUGACUUUUCUUUUCUUCUUUGUUAAUAUUACUACUGAUUGUUUGCUUAGUUUCCGAUCUUUUCGCAACUUUCGUUAUUUUGCAUGCUUCUACUGUCAUAUCCUUAAGAUUUUUGAUAUCUAUGCGCAAUAGUGCAACUCUACGUAAUUUACUUUUCCAGCUAUAUACUCCACCUCAAAGUCAUAUUCUUCCAAAUCUAAUCUAACUAGUUAAUUUGGAGGAGGUUUUUCAUUGAAAAAAGGAAGGUUAAAAGUCGAUAGUCAGUUUUAAUUAAAAAAUUUCUGCCAUAAACCUAUGGUCUAAAAUAUGUAAUGGCCCAGUGAAUUGCUGCCAAUUAAUUUUCAAUUGUUGCUUUAUUAAUUUCACCUUUUCUUUCUUUUCGCCUUCAUAUUCUUGACUAAGUACUGCGCCGCAGGCAUAGCCGCUGGCGUCUGUUGUGAUACAAAAUUCUUUAUAAAAGUCCGGAUAUUGUAGGAUAAUUGGACAAGUUAAUGCUUUUUCAAAUAAAUAAAAGCUCUUUGACAUUCUUCUGUUCAAUUGAAGGAUACAUUCUUUUUACAAAGUCUUGUUAAAAUUUUAGAGUAUUCUGCGAAAUUUGGUACAAAUCUUCGGUAAUAGUUACAGAAUGCAACAAAUUGUUUGACUUCGUCGGCAGUUUUGGGAGUUGGGUAGUUUUGAAUAAUUUCGAAUUUAUUUGGAUCUGGCAAAAUUCCUUUGCUUGCGCAUUUAUGUCCAAGAUAAGUGACUUCUUGACUAAAAAAUAAACAUUUAUCAGGAUGUAACUUCAAAUUAUAUUUUCUGCAAGUUGAAAAUACAUCCCGCAGAUUUUUCAUCAUAUGCUUUUAGGAGCAUCCAAAGCUGUAAACACAUAAAGGGCUUGUGGUGUGUGGCAUGCAGCCUGUCAAAAUAAAAUGUGUGUAAACCAUGAUACAAAAAAGAAGGUAGUUUCAAUAAACAACUUUUGACGG
RNA transcript from Rhagoletis zephyria (snowberry fruit fly), 2486 nucleotides. It is a transcript of the gene named putative nuclease HARBI1, with no coding region annotated. Lineage: Eukaryota; Metazoa; Arthropoda; Insecta; Diptera; Tephritidae. The record is from RefSeq and is a predicted model, not a curated record.